AAAACCUCCACCUAGUGCUCCAAGCUCAUCAACAAAAGCCCACAUCCGCUAAGCAUUCACAUCAUGAAAGUAACUCUUCUGGCAAUAAGCACACGAUGAUAAAGAGGGGCAAAGAGAGAGGACGCUAAGCUCGUAAAGUUAAUCCGACUCCACGAACCAGUACCUCUUUGACACUUAACCCAAUGCCUUCACAAUUCAGAUAAUAGAAAUAACAGACCUCAACUAUACUUUCACCUGUAAAAUAUGAGAAACAUCAAAAAGGUGUCAAUUAGAGCUAACCGUGUCAUGUUGGAAGCAAGCUAAAUGGAAUUUGCAGCUAAAGCAAUCAGAACUCGCCCCCUUCUUAGAUUAUUCAAAACCCAAAAUUUUAGAACAAAAUAUAAAUUGCUUGAGGGCAGUCAAAAUGUGAAAACUUUAUUAGUUUCCCCCCACCCCACAAACACGGAGACAAUUCGGUCCCUUCAGCAUCGAUAAAGGGCGAUUCUUUCCUCUGACAGUAAGAAAAUUGCACAAACCCAAAACUAUUCAUCGUAAGUGGGAUAAUUUCUCAAACAAUUUAUAACAAUCUUGAGAAAAUCGUCAAGCAACCAAUUCAGCAAACCCAGGAAGAAAAUCGAACACACACACGUUUAUUCAUCAUAAAUGGGAAAAUUCCUCGCAAAAAUUACAACAAUUCUUUAGAAAAUCAUCAACCAAUUAAUUCAGCAAACCCAUUUCAGAUUACCUCAAAACUGGAAUCGAAAAGAAAUCGAUUCUCAUCGAAGGGUCUGCUCAGAAAAACCGAUUAAUCAGUCGAUCAAAAGGGACCGACCAAUUUUAGAACUUUACUUUGUCAAACGAUCGGAAGCUUCGAACAGUGUCACAAGCAAGCAAGCAAGCAAAAUCGAAAGAGAAAAAUCGAGAAACUGAGGUAGGAUUAAGAAAAAUAAGAACCUUGAGAGAGAGAGAGAGAGAGAGAGAGAGAGAGAGAGAGUAUUCGAUUCGUGAAGGUGGAAGAAAUCCGAUGUCGGCUCUGUAGUGGGACUGAAGGGAUUUUUCGGCGAGAAAAUAGUCACGCGAAGACGGAAUUAACAUUCUGGUGGUAGAUUCCAAGUUCUAACAUGUUUGGAGGUAAAAGAUAAAAAGAAG
This 1128-nucleotide long non-coding RNA is filed under the name Actinidia chinensis (golden kiwifruit). RNAcentral's name for it is "long non-coding RNA (ACHI_LNC007453)". Lineage: Eukaryota; Viridiplantae; Streptophyta; Magnoliopsida; Ericales; Actinidiaceae. The record is from RNAcentral.